RNAcentral lists this ribosomal RNA (465 nucleotides) under uncultured bacterium. RNAcentral describes it as "partial 16S ribosomal RNA". It matches the Rfam family "Bacterial small subunit ribosomal RNA", at positions 28 to 507 of the family's 1533-position model. The record is from RNAcentral.
GACGAACGCUGGCGGCGUGCUUAACACAUGCAAGUCGAACGGAAAGGCCCUGCUUGGCGGGUACUCGAGUGGCGAACGGGUGAGUAACACGUGGGUGAUCUGCCCUGCACUUCGGGAUAAGCCUGGGAAACUGGGUCUAAUACCGGAUAGGAGCCAUUUUUAGUGUGAUGGUUGGAAAGUUUUUUCGGUGUAGGAUGAGCUCGCGGCCUAUCAGCUUGUUGGUGGGGUAAUGGCCUACCAAGGCGGCGACGGGUAGCCGGCCUGAGAGGGUGGACGGCCACAUUGGGACUGAGAUACGGCCCAGACUCCUACGGGAGGCAGCAGUGGGGAAUAUUGCACAAUGGGCGCAAGCCUGAUGCAGCGACGCCGCGUGGGGGAUGACGGCCUUCGGGUUGUAAACUCCUUUCGCUAGGGACGAAGCUUUUUGUGACGGUACCUAGAUAAGAAGCACCGGCUAACUACGUG